This 381-nucleotide ribosomal RNA is filed under the name uncultured archaeon. Its description in RNAcentral is "bacterial SSU rRNA". It matches the Rfam family "Archaeal small subunit ribosomal RNA", at positions 473 to 853 of the family's 1478-position model. The record is from RNAcentral.
ACACCGGCAGCUCAAGUGGUGGCCGUUUUUGUUGGGCCUAAAGCGUUCGUAGCCGGCCUGAUAAGUCUCUGGUGAAAUCCCGCAGCUUAACUGUGGGAAUUGCUGGAGAUACUAUCAGGCUUGAGGUCGGGAGAGGUUAGAGGUACUCCCAGGGUAGGGGUGAAAUCCUAUAAUCCUGGGAGGACCACCUGUGGCGAAGGCGUCUAACUGGAACGAACCUGACGGUGAGUAACGAAAGCCAGGGGCGCGAACCGGAUUAGAUACCCGGGUAGUCCUGGCCGUAAACGAUGUGGACUUGGUGUUGGGAUGGCCUCGAGCCGCCCCAGUGCCGAAGGGAAGCUGUUAAGUCCACCGCCUGGGGAGUACGGUCGCAAGACUGAA